GGGCGGGGCCGGCCGGGGCGGGGCCGGCCGGGGCGGGGCCGGCCGGGCGGGCGCCGGGGCGGGGCCGCGGGCCGGGGGGGGGGCCGGGUGGGCCGGGGCGGCCUGUGGUCAAGACUGGGCGAGGCCUCCCAGGACUGCGCGGGUGGAGCCUGGUUUCUGUUGUCUACAAGAGCCCACACAGGCAUCUGCUGCUGAAAAUUCCUGGUCAUAUCAUCCAAGACAUGAUGUCUGAGACAAAGGAGGUUAAAGUGCUGGCAUCUUGCCUCGUCAGACCACAUGGAAAACGUGAUAUUCAGGCCUAACGUUUGAUGAACUCAACUGUGUGCAGGCGGUGGCUGGGUGUCUGGAAACCAUCCCUCGGACUGAGGAAGAAGUCAAGCAACUGUGCAGGUUGGAGGGACAUAGGGACCAUUUGCUGACA
RNAcentral lists this long non-coding RNA (421 nucleotides) under Canis lupus familiaris (dog). RNAcentral describes it as "lncRNA (ENSCAFG00000057862.1)". Lineage: Eukaryota; Metazoa; Chordata; Mammalia; Carnivora; Canidae. The record is from RNAcentral.